Molecule: long non-coding RNA, 585 nt
Organism: Helicoverpa armigera (cotton bollworm)
Lineage: Eukaryota; Metazoa; Arthropoda; Insecta; Lepidoptera; Noctuidae
Exons: 2
Source: RefSeq, a predicted model, not a curated record
UCGUCAAAUUGUGUAAAAACACCUAUUUUCAUGUAAAUUAUAUAAAGUACAUGGAAACUUUUUUCUGUUAUCACUGUCAAUAUUGUACUGUCAGUGUCAAGGUUACGUUUAAAAUUCUUGUUCCGUUAACCGUCAGGAAAGAAAAGUGUGUGGAAAAGUGUGAUAAGCUCUGAAAUAAAUAGCUUUAUCUUAACAUAUUAUCAUGGAGUCUUCAGGAACAAGAGCCCCACGCAAACGUGUGGCUAAUUUCACGGCGGACGAAAAAGCUUUGUUAGCACAAUUAGUUAAAAAGAGACCAAUCGUGGAAUCUAAAAUAACAGAUGGCAAGUCAGUCGCCAAGAAACAAGCAGCAUGAGAUAGUAUAACACAGGAGUUCAAUCAGGAAUCAAUCACCAACUUCCAGACUACGGGCUGCUUUGUGAAAGUUUAAGAAAACUCAAAAAGCGAUUUCGGCCCGACCUCCGACCGGCCGAGACCUCGAGCACAGCAGCCGCGCUUGCGACCACUAGAUCAACGAGGAAGUCAAAUAAACUUUGUACUACAUAAUUGGCCUCUUGUUCAACAAUUAAAAAAGUAUUCCUCUUA